Molecule: long non-coding RNA, 8245 nt
Filed under: Triticum aestivum (bread wheat)
Lineage: Eukaryota; Viridiplantae; Streptophyta; Magnoliopsida; Poales; Poaceae
Description: long non-coding RNA (TAES_LNC012565)
Source: RNAcentral
UCCUGUGUCCAGCCUUGCCAAUCAGGCCGGCCUCCACAUGCUGGAGGCGCCGCUGAUUGCUCUCCAGGUUCCCCAAGAUCAUGCAGCAGGUACUUAGCCAGCUACCAUUGUGAAUGAAUGGCAGACUCGCCCCCGGCUGUUUGUAACAAAACUGGAAGUUUGAAACUCUUGCUUUGUUCAUGGUUUGGCGUACCUACCCUGGCGGUGUGUGCGUGUUCUUGCAAAUAAGGUCUAUGGCCCAUUUACAUAUAUUUGAUGCUCUUAGAUGGACAUGAAAACACUUGCUUGUAGAUUUGGCGCCACUAUAUUUUAGGUCCAUGUUCUAACUGUCAAUAAUAUGGCACUACACUUGGUUUUAUCUCCUGUUUUUUAGAGUUCGAUGAAAAACUGCCACACCAAAGUUGGUUGCUUCUAGGUGCUAUUGUAUAGUGAAUGAUAACUGAUUUAUAGUCCUGAGAUGUUUAUUUGUGUUCUCUUCCCAAACAUAGCUACUGUUUUAAUUUUGAUUUGGUCGCUAUUAUGAUUGCUUAAGCUUCAUCAUGUUCCCUCUUCUUUUCAGAAAAAGAACAUUUAGCUUAUUCUUUGUGGUUGUCUAAUCUUCCAUAACCUCGGCUUGCGCAACCGUUGCAGUUGUCGUCACCUCUUCUUGGUUCAGGUGAGCCCUUGAUCUCCCUCCCUCUUUUUCACUGAGAUAGUCUGCCAAAUUUUGAAUGUUGAUUCAGUGUUCAGAUCUCCGGUGGUUUUCUUCUGGCCACCACAAUCAUGUGAGCUUGCUGGAUUUUUGUCCCUAUGAGCUGGCCGAAUUGAUUAUUUCAAAAUGGUAAGGAUUUUUGGCAGUCAAGGGCUUAGUUGGAUUGAAAAUGUGAAAUCUAAGCCCUUUGACAAAUUAAAUGUUGUCUCUCGACUAUGGAGCAAAAUUAUAUGAUUUGGUCUUUGUUUGUUAUCUUGUCACGUAGUUGGACGAAAUGGGAACUUCCCUAUCUGCUAAAUCGAGCACGCAUUGCAUUAGCUUCAUUGAGUAAGUGCCAUAUCGAGCGAAGCAGAGCAGGAGCUUGCUCUUGUCUUGGCGCUAUUUUUGGUACUGCUAUCGCGUCAUGUUUAUUUGGUUACGGUCACCAUUGAUGAACAGUUCAUCUACAGUUUGAAAUAAGUUCGGGUCAGAACACUGGUUUUUUUCCCUUGCAUUUUUGGUUCAAAAAGUACCAGUUUGAUUAGCUGCAGUUCGUAUUUGUACUAUAUAGAACACAUAUUAAUAAAUUAGCUCAAUGGAAUAAGCGCGUAACCAAGCUAAGGGUAGCAGGGCUUGCACUUGUCUUGUUGCUAUAUUUGGUACUGCGAUGGUGUCAUGUUCAGUUAGUUACUAUCACCAUCGAUCAACUAGAUUCCAUUUGCAUUUUGAAACUAGUUUUGAUAAAGAACACUGAUACCUGUAGUAUUUUUGGUUGAAAAAGCACCAGCAUGAUAGGGCAGUGGAGUUCUAAUUCUUGAGUGACACACUGUGACAGUGUGACCGCAUUAUGGAAUUUUUUUAACCUGUUAUGCCAAUGCCUCUUCACUGUUUGAUAUCUAACCGUGUACUUAUUUUGAUGUCCUUUGUAACAGAAUUUACCCAGAAAUGCCCUUUUAGCAUGGAAAAAUAAAUUUCAUUCUACGCUCUCAACUAUACAUGUAGUGAGAAUGAUGAACAUCUUUGUUCUUGUUGUUGUUGCCUACAGCACGUGCCACUUGGUCUGGUGCAGGGCAGGGUGAUGCAUGUGGCGUAGCUGCCCAGCAAGAUGGGCCUCGUCGACAAGAGGUGCAGGAAGGAACGAUCAUAUGGUCAUUGUUGUGAUUGCGGAUGCUCACCAAGAUCACAUCGCCCAAAGCAUGAAUUUCUGGACCUCACCAUCUAUUCCUCGGUCCAGGCAAGUUUGUGGUCUCCUCCUCCCCCCCUCUCUCUCUCUCNNNNNNNNNNNNNNNNNNNNNNNNNNNNNNNNNNNNNNNNNNNNNNNNNNNNNNNNNNNNNNCACACACACAGAGAUACACAUACACAUACGUGCACCCCUAGAUUGUCAGUCAUCUGAGUCGUGGUUGAUCGUGGUUCGGGCCAUCGAGCCAAUGAUUAGUGUUUGGAUCUACGGUGGCAUUCUUGUGUGACUGGUUGAUCAUCUUUCUUGUUGAUGAGACUGGUACCUUGUAUUUUUGUGCUGGGUCCUGUUUAGCACUUCAUGCUACACGGUUUGGUAAUGUCAUGCUUAGUUUUGAUAGAUAGGAUCCAUCCUUACUUAUUUUGGGAUUUUGACUUGUUGGUGGUUUGCUAGAAUCAAAUAGAAGAAAAUGCUUACUUGGUGUAGUGUGGCUGGUGCAUAGAUAGAUAGAACAAGUGCCAUCCUCGUGUACUUUUGAGGGAGCCAUCAUGUGUUGGCAAUAUUUAUGAUAAGUCGUGGAUGCUUUUGCCCAUGAAGAGUGGAUAUUAUUCUGGCUUUGGAACUACCUUUUUUAUCAGUCUAUUCAUGAUUGAGUCCAGACUUUUUUUUGGUUGUAUGAAAUGUUAGCCUGCAUUUGCUUAGGUUAGGACAACAUGUGUUUUGUGUUUUUCUGUAAACAAAUGUUUUGUGAUUUUUCAGAGUGAAUGUCUACUUGGGGUAACAACCUUCUUAACAAGAGCCUUUCUGGUCAAAUUCCACAAUCCUUGACAUAUUUGAUCUUGUAGGCGUCAAAAUUUUUGUGGCAUUGAGCCGUUAUACAAGUGCUGAGGUUAUUUGCAUUUUGUAAAAGCUAGCUUUUGGUUAUUUGUUAUGUUGCAUCGCUCUGCUGUUGGCUGAAAUGGUGUGUUGUGAGUGUCGUGUCCAAAGCAAAGCAAUUUGUCAAGUAGAGAGAAUAAUUUUUCUGGGCUGGCUUAUGAUCUUCGCCUAUACAAAGGGAUAGUGUAUUUGUUGGUUGGAAAAAGUGAUGCAUACCAUUGGUACUUUGCUUUUGUCAGGACCCCGACUCAAUGCCACAUCGAUCCAGCAUGUAACACUUCAUAUCACUUUGCGGCCUCACGCACGGUAUUCCCACGGGUGUCGCCUUACCUUUACCCGGGAUCGUUUGCGUCUUUUGGCACACGUAUAUGAUAAUGUCGCUAGCAUCCAUAUGAUAAGGAGCCCGGGCUGACAUGGCUAUUCGUAAACCCAAAGUGGCACAAACUUACAGGGACAGACAUCCAUGACCCAGCAUCGAACGUGUCGGUCAUCAGCGAGUGAAUCCAGGCUGUAGCACUGGGCUAGCAGGACUUCGGUGAACCAGGCUGUAGCGGGCUAACAGGACUCCGGUAUUCAUCGCGUGACAUUUCCCCGAAGGGACAGACACAGGAACGAAGAAGGACACAUGCCGGCCAGCCUAAGUGUUUCGGAGCAGUAGCAAGCUACCAUGGCUCGGUGGAAACACUAGGAGACAUUUCCCGGUAAGAGAGGCUACUAAAGAUAAACAACUAGAUAGUCAGAUCCCACACAUAUCAAGCAUUUCAAUAACAUACACACAAUAUGCUCGAUAUGUGCAAUACAACAUGGCAUCACAAAAUGACUCUACGACUCAAGUAGUUUAUUCAAUAGGCUUCGAGGAGCGAGACAUUACAAACAUGGGUCUCAUGACCCAACAAUCAGAGCAUACAAGUCAAAGCACAAGCGGAAGCUAUCAUGUCUGGGUACAGACAUCUAUAAAUGAAAAAGGCUGAGAAGCCUGACUAUCUAUCAGAUCCUGCCGAGGGCACAAGAUCGUAGCUGAGGUAACAAGCUAAACGUCGAAGUCCACGUGGAACUACUAGUGAGACUGAAGUCUCUCUGCAAAAACAUAAAAUAGGCAAACGUGAGUACAAAUGUACCCAGCAAGACUUACAUCAAAACUAACUACAUAUGCAUCAUUUUCAACAAGGGGAUGGUGGGGUUUAACUGCAGCAAGCCAGCUUUGACUCGGUGGCUAUCCUAAACUACGACUGCAAGCGACUCUUUUGAGGUGGCGCACACGAGUCCACAUAUUCACCAUAUCAAUACACCACUAUGGAUCCGCUCCCGUCUCCCUAUGAGAACGCCAUCCAUAGCACUCACGCUUAUCUUGCGUAUUUUAAAGUAUCCACUUUCACUUGUCUAUGAACUGAUAUAAACAACCAAGUAGUCCUUUACCGCGGACGCGACUAUUCGAAUAGAUCAUGAUAACCCUGCAGGGGUGUACUUCUUCAUACAUGUUUCCACCACUUAGCGUCUGCACACGACAUGUGCUCGGCAGACUUCAAGCUACCGCAACAAGUAACAGAUGAAUCGAUGUUGUCCUAAUGCAGUAAAAGAGAGCAGGAGCGAGAGAGUGGGAUUGUAUCGGAAUGAACAAGGGGGUUUUGCUUGCCUGGCACUUCUGAAGAUAAUAUUGAGUCUUCAUCAGUGUCAACGAUCACAUCAUCGGUAUCACGUCUAUCGAGAGGGGACAAAUACCGGCAACACAGAAGGGAACACAAUCAAUGCAAUGCACAAUAUGAUGCAUGAUCAUGACAUGGCAAAAUGAAUGUGUUUUGAGCCAAUGCAACUAGCAACAGAUUAAAUGAAGUUGGUUUGAAUACAAGAUUCAAAUUCAAACUCCAUAUGUGAUUAUUUAAAUGCCCUUUAUUUGAUUUGUGCUAAACAGCAACUAUAAGUUGUUCUAACAUGCAUGAAAAUGGUACAGAUGGAUUCCUUGAAUUUUACUGAUAAUUUUUCAUAUAUAAAUUAUUUAAUUUGGAGUUACGGUUGAAUUUCUAUGAAUUUUAGAAGUUUAUACAAUUUUCUGGAAUUUAUAAAUCAUUUCCUAAUUUAUUUUAAUUCCAGAAAGGAAUUAUUGCGUCAGCAUGACCUCAUCCUGACGUCAUCAGGUCAACAGGGCGGGUCCAGGUCAAACNNNNNNNNNNAGAUACCUGGUAUUUCUCUCCUUCCCCACUUUAAGCACAAAGAACAACUUCAGAGGCACAUUGUGCGCUUGCACUUAUUAUUUUUACUGUAUUGUCAGUUCGGUGUUUGUGAGAUAGGCAUUGCUAACUUGCAACUUGUGAACCGGUUUACUCCUUGUCUGUCUCUCUCGGCCCUUGUAUCUUGAUUUUACAUGUACCAGUAGACAUCACUUCUGUUAUUUAGAUACAAGUUUUGUGUUUGGACAUGUGAAUUUUCUCUCACUACUUGAAGGUUUCAUGUGGAAUUUCCGAGAGUACCAAACCAACUCCUAGUUUUUCACCCUUCUGUCAGUCCUUGUAUCUAAAUUAACUGCAACUAUUUUCUGCAAGGAACUGCAUUAAGCAAGAACACAAACCCCUGUCUCCACCACAUAUAUUUCUCAUUGUCAAAGGAAGGUCAUCUUUAGAAAUCUGAAGUCAUGGCUGCCUGUUAGGGUGUCUUUGGAUCCUAAGCAAUUGUAGUGUUAGCUUGCUUAGCAAGGAAAUCUGUUUGGUAAAAGCUAAACUAACCUGGCAAUUCCAUCUAGCCUGCACACGCUAGAAAAGCCUUGCCCCAGCAGGAGGGCCAAUUUGGCUCUCCGUUGGUAAUAAAUGAGUGGAAGAAAGAAAUCAAGGUAACUGCCACUGGAAUUGUGCUUAACCAAGGAGAUUGGUAGCUGAACCAAAUAGCUGGCUUUGCCCACGUAGGCUGUAGCUCAAAAGCCUUGGUUAGCUCGGCAUUGACGGCAAAAGAUAUAAACACACCCUCAAUGACAUCACUCCCUCUAAUUCACAAGUGCUGUUUGGACAUUAGCACGCUCCACACCGUAACUUCGACAAGCAAUUUCUGCUAUCAUGCAUACAUUUAAAUUUUUUCUGAGUGGACAGAGUACCAUAUGUUGACUUAGGUGAACAUUUCUGGUUUGUGCAAUAUAUUUAGUUGCCGAGUUGAUCGAUUAGAUUUAGAUAGAAAGCGUCCAAAUACGAAGAAAAUUGCUGAGCCAUUAAACUGUUUUCUGGAGAUCAAAGUCACCAAGUAUUCUAUGGAGGGCUCGCAGAAUGGCGCCUGUACAGAAAUGAGUUGACUUUGUGUUGUUAUCCGGCUUGUUUAGUUCGUUGACCUAUUUGUGUUUAUUGAUCCAUAUUUAAAUGUUCUCAAUUCACAGUCAACAGGAGGUUGGAUGAGUGGGUUAAACUUGAACAACCUGCUCUCUCUCACGUUGCUCUUCACCUUUGUUUGAAUUCGUUUUGCAUCGUUUGGUAGAACCGGGAUGAAUUUUGAUUAAGUUGUUUGCCCUUUCUUUGUGUUGUGUUCAAUUUCAUCACUGAUUUCCUUGUUAGUACCACUACUUGUUUCUGCGACUAUUCUAAUUGCAGACGACGACAUCAGCAUCCCUACAGAUCUGAAGCGGCCCAUCCUUAAUGGUUUCUACCGCCAUAUCUACCAACCCCGACCGGAUUUAUCAUUGCAUGGGAUCUCUCCUUAUCCGACGCUCACUCUGACGCAUCUGGCAUAGGUAAGCCACUGGUUCCUCCUCUGGUCACCCUCAUGCUCCGUGUAACCAUGGCCACCGAGUUGUGAUGAUUUUUUUUGUACACGAAUGAGAUAAUUUAUGUGUUCCAAACAUUGUGCACAGAUCAUUCUUAUAUUUGCUUGAAUUGGGAAACCCAAUCAAAUCAUCUUCUUUUGUGCUUCCUAUUUGCUGAUCCAUCGUAUGGGUGUACUGUGUAUGUAUGUAAAGGAGAUGGAGAAAGAUAGGAGUUGUAGCUUUUAGAAAUCUUGGUAUUGAUGGGGAAAGAUAGUGAUCACAGUUUCUUUGUUGGAAAGUGUCCAAACUUUUUUUCCCGGAAAUAUAAAUAUGAAUAAAGACAUUGUAUUUCUGUUACCAAAUAAAAAUCAUCUCCUUUUGUGUUUUUUAUGGCUGAUCCAUUUUAUGGGUGUUUUGUGCUUGCAUGUAAAGGGAAUGGGGAAAGAUGGGAGUACUAGCUUUUAGAAACACAUUUACUUAUUGGAAUUCCAGUAUUAAUGGGGGAAGAUAAUAAUCACUGUGUCCAGGUUAGAAAGCUUCCAAUUACGAAGAAAAUAGCCAGAGCUAUUAAACAUUUUUCUGGAGAUUCAAUUCACCUAUUAUAUUUCUGUUCCUCCGAUACUGCUACGUUCUUUUCAUGAUUGGUAACUACAAGUGUUCCCUUUUUGAUUAACAGAAGUGAUUGCAAAGGAGCUGGAUGUGCAGGGCCAUGGAAUCCCGAUGACAGUGGCCAACAUCACCUACAUAGGCAUGAACGACCUCCAUGCUGUUGGCGGCCUUGGCACGCUACUGUUCUACCUUUAUCUCCUGGAGGUCAAGAUGGAUGUUGACAUUCCCAACACUGUUCAGGGUAAUUCAUUCAUUCAUGCCCCAUACUUGGCAUGCUAUUGUUCUAACUUUAUCUCCUGGAGGUCAAGAUGGAGGUCAAGGUGGAUCGGCAGGAGCUAGAAGUAAGGUUAUCUCCUUUUUCUUCCAUUCCGAAGAUGGUUGCCAUUUAUACAUUUCAAGUUAGUAGCUAUUCCAUUGUAUCACAAUAGAGAAGUAAUUUGGUUGCGUGAAAAACAUCUAGGUUUCUCACUGGAGCGGAACUCCUUUGCACGGAGUCUCAUAACGCAGACUCAUCCCUGAAAGCACUAUGACAGCACUCAGGUUCAAUCAUGUGUUGCCCCCUGAAGGUCGGUUGCGUGCUUGAUCAUCCUGUCACAUCACAUAUAUUCAUGUUGGCAUUGUGUGGGCCUAACAAAAAAUGCUUGGUUUGCUACAAUUUUAGGCUGCUCCUGUGUCCAGCCUUGCCAAUCAGGCCGGCCUCCACAUGCUGGAGGCGCCGCUGAUUGCUCUCCAGGUUCCCCAAGAUCAUGCAGCAGGUACUUAGCCAGCUACCAUUGUGAAUGAAUGGCAGACUCGCCCCCGGCUGUUUGUAACAAAACUGGAAGUUUGAAACUCUUGCUUUGUUCAUGGUUUGGCGUACCUACCCUGGCGGUGUGUGCGUGUUCUUGCAAAUAAGGUCUAUGGCCCAUUUACAUAUAUUUGAUGCUCUUAGAUGGACAUGAAAACACUUGCUUGUAGAUUUGGCGCCACUAUAUUUUAGGUCCAUGUUCUAACUGUCAAUAAUAUGGCACUACACUUGGUUUUAUCUCCUGUUUUUUAGAGUUCGAUGAAAAACUGCCACACCAAAGUUGGUUGCUUCUAGGUGCUAUUGUAUAGUGAAUGAUAACUGAUUUAUAGUCCUGAGAUGUUUAUUUGUGUUCUCUUCCCAAACAUAGCUACUGUUUUAAUUUUGAUUUGGUCGCUAUUAUGAUUGCUUAAG